This 395-nucleotide ribosomal RNA is filed under the name uncultured bacterium. Its description in RNAcentral is "bacterial SSU rRNA". It matches the Rfam family "Bacterial small subunit ribosomal RNA", at positions 143 to 518 of the family's 1533-position model. The record is from RNAcentral.
AUAACGAUCCGGAAACGGGUGCUAAUACCGCAUAGUUUCUUGAUCGCAUGAUUGAGAAAGGAAAGACGGCCUUUGUGCUGUCGCUUAUGGAUGGACCCGCGGCGUAUUAGUUAGUUGGUGAGGUAACGGCUCACCAAGACGAUGAUACGUAGCCGACCUGAGAGGGUGAUCGGCCACAUUGGGACUGGGACACGGCCCAAACUCCUACGGGAGGCAGCAGGUAGGGAAUCUUCCGCAAUGGACGAAAGUCUGACGGAGCAACGCCGCGUGAGUGAAGAAAAGGGUUUUCGGAUCGUAAAACUCUGUUGUCAGAGAAGAACAAGUUGGAGAGUAACUGCUCCAGCCUUGACGGUAUCUGACCAGAAAGCCACGGCUAACUACGUGCCAGCCGCAGC